GACGAACGCUGGCGGCGUGCUUAACACAUGCAAGUCGAACGGAAAGGCCCUGCUUUUGUGGGGUGCUCGAGUGGCGAACGGGUGAGUAACACGUGAGUAACCUGCCCUUGACUUUGGGAUAACUUCAGGAAACUGGGGCUAAUACCGGAUAGGAGCUCCUGCUGCACGGUGGGGGUUGGAAAGUUUCGGCGGUUGGGGAUGGACUCGCGGCUUAUCAGCUUGUUGGUGGGGUAGUGGCUUACCAAGGCUUUGACGGGUAGCCGGCCUGGGAGGGUGACCGGCCACAUUGGGACUGAGAUACGGCCCAGACUCCUACGGGAGGCAGCAGUGGGGAAUAUUGCACAGUGGGCGGAAGCCUGAUGCAGCAACGCCGCGUGCGGGAUGACGGCCUUCGGGUUGUAAACCGCUUUCGCCUGUGACGAAGCGUGAGUGACGGUAAUGGGUAAAGAAGCACCGGCUAACUACGUG
Molecule: ribosomal RNA, 468 nt
Filed under: uncultured bacterium
Lineage: Bacteria
Description: partial 16S ribosomal RNA
Rfam family: Bacterial small subunit ribosomal RNA
Source: RNAcentral